UAAACGACAGGUUUGGUCCUGGCCUUUUUAUUAGUUGUCUGCAGGAUUAUACAUGCAAAAAUCCCUGUACCGGUGAGAAUGCCCUCUGUACCACACUCCAGGUUUAGAGGAGCAGGCAUCAAGCACACUACAAAGUAGCUCACGACGCCUUGCUUUGCCACACCCCUCGGGAAACAGUAGUAGUAAAAAUUAAGCAAUAAACGAAAGUUUGACUAAGCCAUGCAGCAAUUAGAGUUGGUAAAUCUCAUGCCAGCCCCCGCAGUCAUACGAUUAACCCUAGUCAAUAAAACCCGGCGUAAAAAGUGUUUAGGAGAUAUAAAAAAUAAGAUUAAGCUUUAUCUAAGUUGUAGAAAACUCUAGACAUAGUAAAAAUCAAAAACGAAAGUAAUCUUAAUAAAACUGAACACACGAAAGCUAAGGCCCAAACUGGGAUUAGAUACCUCACUAUGCUUAGCCCUAAACAUAAAGACUUACACAACAAAAGGUUUCACCUGAGAACUACUAGCAAUAGCUUAAAACUCAAAGGACUUGGCGGUGCUUUAUACCCGCCUGGAGGAGCCUGUUCUAUAAUCAAUAAACCCCGAUACACCUCACCUCUCCUUGCUAAUUCAGCCUAUAUACCGCCAUCUUCAGCGAACCCAAUUAUGGAAACAAAGUAAGCGCAAGUAUACUACAUAAAAACAUUAGGUCAAGGUGUAGCCAAUAGAGUGGGAAGAAAUGGGCUACAUUUUCUUAUCGAAGAACAACAAACGCAAGUCUUUAUGAAAUUUAAAGACCUAAGGAGGAUUUAGUAGUAAAUGAAGAAUAGAGGGCUUGGUUGAACUAGGCCAUGAAGCACGUGCACACCGCCCAUCACCCUCCUCAAGUAUCCAAGAGUUUUAUAUAAACUAACAAAUAUUAGAGGAGACAAGUCGUAACAAGGUAAGCAUACUGAAAGUGUGCCUAGAAACAAAGUGUA
This 958-nucleotide non-coding RNA is filed under the name Cavia porcellus (domestic guinea pig). Its description in RNAcentral is "Bacterial small subunit ribosomal RNA". It matches the Rfam family "Bacterial small subunit ribosomal RNA". The record is from Rfam by way of RNAcentral. Lineage: Eukaryota; Metazoa; Chordata; Mammalia; Rodentia; Caviidae.